GAGAGGCGCCUCCGCCGCUCCUUUCUCAUGGAAAUGGCCCGGGAGCCCGGCCGUCGCGGCGCCCCUCCCGCGGGAAAAAGGCGAGCCCCGGCCCCCGGUGGCCCCUCGCUCCGCGGACAAAUCCGGCGAACAAUGCGCCCGCCCAGAGGGCGGCCCAGCUGCUGGGCCGGGGAUCUGGCCNCGGGACACAAAGGGGCCCGCAUGCCUAGGACGUCACGAGAAGGGUGGGGGCGACCGCGGGGGAGAAUGUGGCCACCCGGCCCCUGACCACGUGUGUCCGCAGCUCUGAGUGCUCGAGAUCCCGAAGAGGGAGACGAGGGCCAGAAGACAAAGGGAGGGGCUGGGGAAGCGGCGGGCUGAGGGGCGCGGGAGGGAAGUGUGCAGCUUCCCGGGUUGUGUUGGCGCGUCGGGCUACCCACGGGCAGUCCUGGGCGCUGUCCUCGGUGCUGGCCGUGGAGUCACCCAGAGAGACGGGGCGCUAAUGCGCUUGGGGCGAAGGAAUGUCCUGAGUAUCAUCACUGUUCCCAUCUAGGGAGCCCUGGAUAGUUGCCGCAGCAACCCCAGAGAAAUGGGGUAGGGCCUGGGGUCACUGCAGUCUGUCCCCUGGGCGCUCUAGUUGGGGGUCGCAGAGUGAAGGCGGUGAUCACUUUGAUUCUGAGGAAACCCCUGAACCUUAGGUUGAGGUUCGAGCUGUGGAAGUGGGGGAUCUGCAUCUGCACCCAAGGUCUAAAUCUGGGUGGAUACACUGGACCGCAUCCCGCCCCCAAACCUCUCUCCAGCUAUGCGGGACGCGAGGCACGUGAGGCUCUGCAGCCCAGAGAGAAAAUGACAAAUCCUCCUCCUCCCUCCCCCCACCACCAUCUGCAGCCGCAGUGACACCCACUCAGGUCUGCUGCAGGCAUUUUUUUUUUCCUGUCCUCGGUAGCCAGCGCCACCUGCUGGCGUCCUGGUAUGAGACUCUGCUCUGGCAUGUCUCCUCCCAGCACGGUUUCCGAUCCCCAAGGUUACAGGCCCUAUUACCUAGGGCAGUGGUUCUCACCCUUCAGAAUGCUGCUACCCUUUAAUACAGUUCUUCAUGUUGUGGUGACCCCCUAACCAUAAAAUUAUUUUCGUUGCUA
RNAcentral lists this long non-coding RNA (1118 nucleotides) under Mus caroli (Ryukyu mouse). Its description in RNAcentral is "lncRNA (MGP_CAROLIEiJ_G0005560.1)". Lineage: Eukaryota; Metazoa; Chordata; Mammalia; Rodentia; Muridae. The record is from RNAcentral.